Molecule: long non-coding RNA, 8811 nt
Filed under: Prunus persica (peach)
Lineage: Eukaryota; Viridiplantae; Streptophyta; Magnoliopsida; Rosales; Rosaceae
Description: long non-coding RNA (PPER_LNC002743)
Source: RNAcentral
UUGGGAUCAAUAACCUAAAAAAAACGCAAGUUUCUGUUUUUUUUUCUUUCUUACCUUUUUUUCUUGCUUGCCUUUUCUAAAUCCAGUCGGCCGUAGCUUUACUUACCUUUUUUUUUUUUUUUUUCUAAACUAAUAUAUUAACAUAUGGACUUAUCUUCUAGGGUAAAUUACUCAAAUGGUCCUUAAACUUAUACUUGAUUUACAUUUUGGUCUUUCAACUAAAUUUUUCAUUCAAAUGGUCCAUCAACUAUAUAUUAUUUGCCCUAGUGGUCCUACCGUCUAAUUUUCUGUUAGAUUUAACCAAAUUUUAGGGUAAAUAAUGAUCAAUUUGCCCUCAUAUUUAACAGAAAUAUUGACAGAAUGUAACGGUAGGACCAAUAGAGCGAAUAAUAUAGACUUGAUGGACUAUUUGAACGAAUAAUUUAAUUGAGGGACCAAAAUGUAAAUCGAGUAUAAGUUUAAGGACCAUUUGAGUAAUUUACCCUAUCUUCUAUAUAUAUAAAGCAAAAGACAGAGAAUGGUGAAAACAUUCAAAAUACCAGAAAAUGCCCUUAGUUAAUUCAAACAUUAAGAAUUGAAAUUAUUAAUUAAAUGAGGAUAAUAUGGUAAAUUCACAUUUUUUAUAUUAAAAAAAUAAAAUAAAAUAAUAACUACCCAUGUUAUCUUUUCUUAAUAUUAAAAAAUAAUAAUAAUAAUAAAAAGAAAUUGGCACAUGCUCAUGCAUGUGCUAAGGAGCUAGUAUAUAUAUAUAUAUAUAUAUAUAUAUAUAUAUAGGGUUAUUUACUGUAGAAGUCCCUGAACUUGGCCCCCAUUUGCAAUUGGGUCAGUGAACUUUUUUUUUCAGCAAUUACAUUCGUUAACUUGAUAAAUAGUUCCAAUUGGGUCUUGCCAUCCAACUCUGUCAAUUUGUCCAUCAAAAUGAGGGAUAAAAGCGUCCUUUUCAGAAUGGAUUGAACAGAACCACAAUCUAAAAACAAAAUCAGAUGGAAUUUUUUUUUCCCAAAUAUGAUCAGAGAAACAAAACACCUAAAACCCAUACGAAAAUCCUGAUCUAAUCACAAACACCAACAAAAUGCAGUUCACAAAUUCAUCAAUUCAACAAACAACAAACAAAAGGAGAAUUUUUCCAAAGCUUUCGAGACAUGAACAUCUAAAAAGAACUAUAGAAAAAUCGGAGAAAUAGAAUCACAACGAAGCUAGCCAUCGUGAGCUCGGUGGUGAAGCUGGAGUCGCAGCGCCUAGCAUAGAUAGUGAAGCAGGUGCAGAAGUUGACAGCGUUGGAUUUGGCCACGUCUACCAACGUCGUGGCUUAGAUGGCGGUUGCGGUGGCAUUCAUUAUGGCGCCAAGGGCGCCGUCGCUGUUACGGCGAUAUCGGAGAAGGAGAGCUUAAGGGGAUGGGGUUGAGGGUGGGUUUUGGGUUUUGCAGGUUGGGAGAUGGGGGGUGGGUUGCAGGUUGGGUUGGGAUCUGGGUUUUGAGGGAGUGGGCUAAGGAUGAGGGGAAAUGGGUUGCUAGAGAGAGGGAGAGACAGAGAGGUAGAGCUGAGAGAGAGAAGGAGAGCUUAAAGAUAAACUCACUUACCUUCGGGAAUGAUUCACCUCCUCCAUUCCAGCCAUACAACUAUUUGGAAUAGUGGUAUAGAUGCUUUGCUUGAGGACUCAAAGGAGAACUGUGUUUGCUUCUUUUCUAGCUAAGCUAAAUUCAAAAGUCAAUGCCAGCCGUAAUUUUAUUUUAUUUUAUUCUUCAUUUUUUUCAUUUUUUUUGUUUUCAAUUUUACAAACUGUAAAUAGAGCCAAGUAAAUCCUAUGUGGUUUCUACCAAUCACAAAUGGAUUUGUAUUGUAAACUUGUGAAGAUGGAGGUGGGUUGUUAGGGUUGAUGAUGGAUGAAGAAGGUGGAUGUGGGGUCAAUGAUGGAUGAAGAACCCGAAAAGACGCUUUUACCCUCUCACUUUGACAGAAUUGGAAGGAAGGACCCAAUUGGAACUAUUUAUCGAGUUAACGGAUGUAAUUGCCGGAAAAAAAGGUUCACGGACCCAAUUGCAAAUGGGGGCCAAGUUCAAGGACGUCUACAAUAAAUAACCCUAUAUAUAGUAUAGUACAACCCUAAUUUCUACCCUUACCAGAUAAUCUCCAUCAAUUUCAAGAAUUCUCUUCAUCUUUCGACUGCAAGUAAGCCAUUUUAUUUUUCUCUCUAAUUCUUCGCAACUGUAAUUUGAAGUUCCAUAUAAUUUUUUUUCAAUAUAUUAGUUAUCUUAUUCGUUUAUGUGAUAUAGUAGAAAUUUGAUAUACAUGCAUUAUACUUGUAUCUUAGAAAUAUUAAUGGUGUUGUUUUAUAGCUAUGAAUUAAAAAAAUCCUGCGUGGAAGUAUGCAAAAGAAAUAGGGGGGAAAAAUACUUAAGAUGCACAUUUUAUGAUCAAAGAUGUAAUGGAGAAAUUUUUAGACCUAAGCAUCAUUUGGGUCAAACUCAUCAUGGUAUGCAACCAUGUAAGAAAGUUCUUGAGCAUGUGAAAAAAUAGUGUGUUGCAACUUUGAAAAAAUUUCAACCUGAAAAAAGAAAGAAAAAUGAAAUGCUUAGAGAGAUUGGGGAUGGUCCACGAGGAGGGGCUCAUAGUAUGGAAACUUCAUUGGAUGGUCCAUAAGGAGGGGCUUAGAGAGAUUAGGGAUGGUCCCGGUACUAGGAGUGUUGCAAUUGAUGAAGCUCUUAGAGCACAACCUAAAUCAAAAGGACCAAUGGAUAGAUUUGUCACUUUAGAAGCUCGGCAAAGUACAUUAAAUUCAGCAUACAAACAAGAAGAAAGAAAGGAAGUUUGUCGAAAGAUCGGUCAUUUUUUCUUCUCUAGAGCACUCCCAUUUAAUAUUGUAAAUGAUCCAUUUUGGCUACCUAUGGUAGAAGGGAUUGCCGCAUAUGGUGUAGGAUUUAAGCCUCCAUCAAUGCUGACAGAUGGGGAUGAGGCGAUGCGCACAAAGUAAUUGAGUAUGUGUUGCCCAUGUGCAAUCAUAGGUUGUGCUCAUGGCACGUGGCAACGAAUGCACAAAAUAGCUCAAAGGAUGAAGAAUUGGUACGAUCAUUUCAAGCAUAUCUUUGGGAACUAAUUACAGUCAAUGAGUUUGAAAAGAAAUGAGAGUUUUUGAAGGUCAGAAUUAUACACAUAAAUAAAAGGAUGACUGUAAAUGAUGUAUGUAAAACGAGAUGAGUGGGCGAAAUCACACCUCAGACCCAAGUUUUUCAGUGUAUGUGUACUACUCAAUGCGUGGAGUGUAUGAACAAGUUUGUGAAAGAUUACUUGAGAAAAGACGUUAAGUUGUUUGAAUGCAUAUCACCGAAAACAGUAAAAAAAAAUUGCUUACAACAAUAUUUGUUUUUAAUUAUAAUUAUUUUUUAAUAUGAAAAAAGUGUAAAUUUACCAUAUUAUCCUGAUUUAAUUAAUAAUUUCAAUUCUAAAUGUUUGUGUGGGCUUCAAUUAUCCCAUUCUGAGUAAAUAAAAACUAGGCCUAAAGUAUCCUGAAGGAGAAGCAAGUCCUAGGGAAUACUAUGUUUUUCUUCAAGUGGCUCUUCAGAUUUAUGACUUCUUCCAGCGGCUCUUUGGAUUUCUACGACGGCUGCAUGAGUUUAUACAAAGACCAUAUAAGCUUGGCAUGUGAAUCAGAAUAUUAAAGAGUUUGACAUGAGAGGCUUGUGAUGUGGGAGCUAAGUGCCCAUAAGUUUAGCAUGAGAGAGAGAUUUGCUAGAGGAAUGGAUGAUUAUGGCUGUGUGUUGUGGCAUAGUUUGGAUAAUGUUUGAGGCUUGAGAUGAUAUUCAGGGCAUGGUGAUAAUGUCUAAAGGAUGGAUGAGCUUGCAUCUGGCUAUUGCUUGGUUGUGUGGUGGUCAUGUUGGUGUUUUGGACUUGAAGUGGUGUGAGCACGAUGCAGAGAUUAAGGGUUGGUUUUGGGUGUUCCCAGUAGCUAGAGGAUGAGCUUGCCUUUAGCUACUGCUUGGCAAUGUCUGGGUUUUGUGAUUGGUAAGGCUUGUUGGUGUUUUGCAGAAGGUGAGCUUGCCUCUUAGUUGUUUCUAGAUGAUGUGCAGGGUUUUGGAAUGGCUAAGACUUGGUGUUUUCUAACAGAGGGUAAACUUGCCUUUGCCUUUCUUCUUUCUCCUCUUGGUAACUGAUGCCUCCCAUUUAUAGGAGCUGGGAGUUCUUGGCAGUUGUGGAAGAUUGGGUUUUUAAUGUAUGAAGGUGAGGCAUAGGUGGUUGUGGCUUUAAUUGAGUUUGACUAUGGUUUUGCUGCUGGAAGGGUUUAAUGCUAGAAGGUAGGAAAUUGGAGAUUGGGUAAUAAAGGUUGGAAGGUUGGUAGAAGGCGUGUUCUCUAUGCUUACCCAUUCAAUGGGCUCAAGAAAAUGAGCUUGGGUAAGCAGCCCAAAAUCUUCAGUAUUUUGAACUUUUGAUGGGCCUCAUGGAUCCUUGUAACCAUCUAUACCACAACCUAUUCAACAAGCUCCAUAUAUGUGGCUUGGGCCCACUUAAGCUUUAUCGGGUGGUUUAGCAUAGUAAAAUGUAUUAUUGGCUUGGCAUGACAUAUACUGUUAUAAAACUAGAGGGAAUUGUAUAGAGCAAUAAGAGGAAGAGAAAUACAGAGAAUUUUUUCUAUGAAUUUGUAUCAACCUAUCUUAUUCAUCUUUGAUAAGCGCCUAUUUAUAGGCUUACAAUAGAGGUAUUUAACCCACAAUUUAUAGCUAGAAAUUAAAAUAAUAAGGGCAUAGGUUACAAAGCAGUAAGGGGUGAAGGUAAUGGAUGUUAUGGUGGUCAUCCACAUUCCAUAGAUUUAUAACACUCCGCCUUGGAUGUCCACCGUACAAUGACAUUGUUGCCUCAUUAAAAACCUUGCUUGAAAAACCCAGUGGGACAAAACCGAAGACAAGGGGAAAAGAGUGCAUCUUUCUUCUGAAUCAUUGAUAUGAUGUUGGACAUGCUUAUGUUGUCUCUUUAAAACCUUACUAGGAAAAACCCAGUGGGACAAAAACCUAGUCGAAGGGAAAAAGAGUAUAACGCACAUAUGUCCUGUAUGUAGUAGAAUUGAGAUGCUCCCCCUGAUUUUCAUUAACUUAUGGAAUUUAGGCUUCAGAAAAAGUUUUGGUAAAAAGGUUCGCCAGAUUAUUUUGUGAACGAAAAAUCUCUUGGCUUUUUUUUUUAAAAAAAAUCACCUUUGAUGAACCCUUCUCUGAUUUGAGCAAUACAAGCAACAUUGUCUUCAUACAUGAUUGAUCUAUUCGACCUGCUUUUCACUUUUCAAAUGAUUGAACUCUUUAGGAGCAUCAACAACUAAUUUAAUAGUUAGAAUAUGUUACAACAAUAUCAAAUUUGAAUUCAAAAUACUCAAACUCUUAGUGUUAACUCUUAAUUAAGAAUAUUAUGGUACUUUAUAUCCUUCAAGGGGGUCGCUUCAUCCGAUAUAUCUCAAAUAUUUCAUGAGCUUUGAGAAUUUCCAUAUACCAUAUAGUCUUAAUAAAUAUACAUUAAACACAUGCUAUAAGUUUUGCUUUAAAAUAACAACUGCACUUAUAUAAAUGUGGAUGCAUCUACGAUGAGAUGGGAGACUAAAACCAUGUCUCUCCCAGGAAACCUUAUGUCAUAUUAGUGAUCUUAUUUCACUUCACAAACACCAAUUCGUAACCUUCAUACUUAACAUUUGUAAUUUGGUGUUUGAGCUAUAGGUUCAAUAUCCCACACUUCAUAUUUAGUGAUAAAUGGAAUUGCCUAUUUCUAUUUUGGCCAAUCACUUAACUUGUCGAUUCAUAAGGUAAGAUGUAAUAUAAUCAUAGCCCUUGAAGUAGUUACUAAUAAACCAAAUGUAUCAUCAAUUCGUGAUCCCAUAAUUCUCAUGUGCAUGCGCAUGCAUAAUUUAUAAGCAUUUCAUUGCUUUGGGGUACCAGUGCCUCUUCAGGGGCUUAUGUUGUCACUUAUGAGACAAACAUCUCUUUUACGAUGAAUUAAUUAGAAUAUGUGGAUUAUAACCUCCUAAAGAGCAUUAUUUUUGAUAGGGCUUGAAUUUUUCAAAUAAUCUCCACUUAUGGGGAGUUAAAUUUAUAGAACCUAUAUUUUUGUCACGCUUCAGACAUGCAUUAUAUAUAGUCACUUAUUGUCAUGUUAAUGAAUUGUAAUACAUGAAUAUCAAUCCGUGCUUGCAUAUUCAUAACUUCAUAUAUGCAUUAUCUUGAUGAGACAAAAACGGACCGAUUCAACACUAUUUCACAACGUUCUUCAAGAACUGCCAUUUCUCCCCCAUAACAGUGGGAAAAUUGUCUCAAAAUGUAGGAAAAUAAACUCAUCAUCAUUAUCAAGUCAAAUUGACUGGAUUGGAUAAUGUGGGAGUUGUGCUCAUAAGAGUCUUGAUAAGAGACAAAUAUGUGACCAUUUUAGUAGGCACAUUCAAUAAAACUGGUGAAGUGAUCCAUAAUUAAAUGUUGUAUAGGUUCACAAAUAUCCCUUUGAAUUAUUGAAGGAAAGAGGGCUCAAAGUCAAUUUUUGACUGAGAUGAUCUUAUGACAGCUUUUAUUUGUGAGCAUUCUUUGUAAUGAUAUUUGUUGGACAAGACAAUAUUUUGAGUCUUUAAACAAUGUCCUUACAAAUUUAUAAAAUUCUUAUGUAUCAUUGUGGAACAUGGAUUGCCAAGACAGUCAUAACACAACAUAAAAGUUAUCCAGUCAAUGAACUUCUGGUUCAUGACAUCAUAGUCUUCAAUUACUUUAAUAGUUGUGUAAUAUUAGGGCCUUAUGAACUUUUGGUUCAUGACAUUAUAAACUUCCUACCCACAAAAGAAAGUAGGAAGUUUCUCCAAUAGAUGCCUUUGGCUGUCAAUAUUGGGGCGGUAAUACAAAACAUUACUAUUGUAAAACGAAAUUAACUAAUAACCCAAUAUAAAUAAAAUAAAAUGAGUAAAGUGGUAUAAACGAGGAAUAAAAUAAAUAAAUUAAAGACUAUGAAAUUUCAAGAUAAUCCAAUAUUAAUAUGGAUUCAAUAUGUAGAUAAAACUAUAAUUUAAGAAUUGGAUUUCCAACCAGUUCAGGUUCAUAUAAGGCACAAAUAAGUAAUGAACUUCAAGUUCAUAUAUAGUAUUAAGAUCCAUGAACAACUAUGAAUUUCAGGUUCAUAUCAACAUAUAUUCGAAACUUCAUGUUCGAAUACGUAGAUCUAAAUAAAUUGAAUUAAUAGUUGUGCUUUGAACUUCAUACUCAAAUCGAUAUAUAUAUAUAUAUAUGCACUCGAAACUUCUAGUUCAGGUUCUUGACAUAUGUAGGCCUCAUGAAAUUCUGAUUUUGAUUAAUACAAAAUCAAGGAGUUUUAUGUCCUUAUGUGCUCUUUAAAUUCGCAGAAGUUCACGCCCUCAAUUAUUUGGAAUCAAAGAGCUUUAGGUUCUGAUUCAAUCGAAAGGACUCUAGGUCUUAAUUAGUUAUAUGAUGAGGAUCGAGGAUCUUCAGGCCCUGAUCUUUUGUAUAAUACAAACUCAUCAUAAUAAUUAAGAUCAUACAUAAAUUAAAUAAACAAACAAUAAAAAAAUAAUGGCAUUAUAUUCAUGUGCAAUAAGAAUAAGAAUUUCUUUUUCUUAAAUGAGCAUGACGAAGUCUGAUGGUGAGUACGAAGAAACUCUAUACCAUGUGAUGACUCUAGCUCAUAUAAGAAGAAAGAAAAUAUACCAAGAGCAAUGCCGUGUUGAUAACGCGUUAUAAAACUAGAGGGAAUUGUAGAGAGCAAUAAGAGGAAGAGAAAUACAGAGAAUUUGUUCUAUGAACUUGUAUCAACUUAUCUUAUUCAUCUUUGAUAAGCGCUUACUUAUAGGCUUACAAUAGAGGUAUUUAACCCCAAAUUUAUAGUUACUAAUUACAAUAAUAAGGGCAUAGGUUACAAAGCAAUAAGCGGUGGAGGUAAUGGAUGUUAUGGUGGUCAUCCACAUUCCAUAGAUUUAUAACAUGUACAUUAUUUUCUAUAUUUAUUCAAUGAAUUAAUUCCCAAAAUACAUCUUGGAUUUACGCAUGACCAAUAUUAUAUGUUAUAUUGGGCUUCUUGUGACAUCUUGGGCAUCAAUAGUUUGUAUAUUAAUCAAAGACAUUUUUUGGUAUUUUGAAUGUUUCACAAUUCUAUGCAUUUUGCUUUAUAUAUAUAUAUAUAUAUAUAUAUAUAUGAAAAAUUCCCAUUAAGUAGUUUUAGUAAGUAAUUUUUUUUAACAUUUAAAUUAGUUAAUGGUAUUUAUUGGGAUUUUGGAUUAGUUUUUUGUUGUUGAAGUUAGGAAGGGAAAAGGGGACAACCUCACACACACUCGCCAUAAGAGCUUGAAUCCAAUACUCUAUUGGUUAUAUUUUGAAACAAAGUACGUUAGUGUUUAAAUUUCGAAACUUGUGUUAAUCUAAAUUUCGAAAAUUGUGUUAAUCUUCGAGCAACUCCCGUACAAAUCAGAAGUACGAAAAUAAAAAUGGAACUUAACAUGAUAAUGAUAAGUGCAAACAUAGCUUAACAUUAUAAAACUUUCUUUCUUAAUGCCCAGUUUACAAAUUUAGGAAAAAUUUAGGGAAACCCUAGAGUAUUGUGUAUUCAAUCCUCAUAAGAAAGAACAACAUAACUUCAGCCAAAAAGAAGAAAAUUAAACACAGAAAUAAGUAUAACAUGUGAGUUAUUGCCAGCCCCCCUGUGAAGCUCUGUACAAGUCAAAUUCAAGGCAAUAAAAGAAAAUAUCAUACAAUGGCAACAUCAAACUUUGAGACUAGGAAUAUGAGUGACACAGUGGGUGGGCAAAAAAAAAUUUAAAAACCCCCCCCCCCCCCCCCCCCCCCCCCCCCCCCC